CCUACGCGAGGCUGCAGUGGGGGAUAUUGCACAAUGGGGGGAACCCUGAUGCAGCGACGCCGCGUGGGUGAAGGAGUGCUUCGGCAUGUACAGCCCUAUCGGCAGGGAAGAAGCCAGAUGGUACCUGACUAAGAAGCCCCGGCUAACUACGUGCCAGCAGCCGCGGUAAUACGUAGGGGGCGAGCGUUAUCCGGAUUCACUGGGGGUAAAGGGAGCGUAGACGGCCAUGCAAGCCAGGGGGGAAAGCCCGGGGCCCAACCCCGGGACUGCCCUUGGAACUGUGCGGCUAGAGUGCGGGAGGGGCAGGCGGAAUUCCUGGUGUAGCGGUGAAAUGCGUAGAUAUCAGGAGGAACACCGGCGGCGAAGGCGGCCUGCUGGACUGCGACUGACGUUGAGGCUCGAAAGCGUGGGGAGCGAACAGGAUUAGAGACCCCAGUAGUC
This 441-nucleotide ribosomal RNA is filed under the name uncultured bacterium. RNAcentral's name for it is "partial 16S ribosomal RNA". It matches the Rfam family "Bacterial small subunit ribosomal RNA", at positions 338 to 795 of the family's 1533-position model. The record is from RNAcentral.